CGCGAAAGUGGAGCAAUCCAUGAGUAGAGUGGCGAACGGGUGAGUAACGCGUGGGUGACCUACCUUCGAGUGGGGGAUAACGUCCCGAAAGGGACGCUAAUACCGCAUGACAUCCUGUCCUUGAACGGACGGAGAUCAAAGCCGGGGAUCGCAAGACCUGGCGCUUGUUGAGGGGCCCGCGUCUGAUUAGCUAGUUGGUGAGGUAACGGCCCACCAAGGCGACGAUCAGUAUCCGGCCUGAGAGGGCGGACGGACACACUGGGACUGAGACACGGCCCAGACUCCUACGGGAGGCAGCAGUGGGGAAUUGUUCGCAAUGGGCGCAAGCCUGACGACGCAACGCCGCGUGGAGGAUGAAGGUCUUCGGAUUGUAAACUCCUGUUGCCAGGGACGAAAAGCUCCGACCUAACACGUCGGAGUCUGACGGUACCUGGUGAGGAAGCCCCGGCUAACUCUGUGCCAGCAGCCGCGGUAAUACAGAGGGGGCUAGCGUUGUUCGGAAUUACUGGGCGUAAAGGGCGCGUAGGCGGCCCGCUAAGUCGAACGUGAAAUCCCCGGGCUCAACCCGGGAACUGCGUCCGAUACUGGCAGGCUUGAAUCCGGGAGAAGGGAUGUGGAAUUCCCAGGUGUAGCGGUGAAUUGCGUAAAUUUCUGGAGGAACACCGGUGGCGAAGGCGGCAUCCUGGACCGGUAUUGACGCUGAGGCGCGAAAGCCAGGGGAGCAAACGGGAAUUAGAUACCCCGGUAGUCCUGGCCCUAAACAAUAAAG
Molecule: ribosomal RNA, 769 nt
Filed under: uncultured Bacillota bacterium
Lineage: Bacteria; Bacillati; Bacillota
Description: bacterial SSU rRNA
Rfam family: Bacterial small subunit ribosomal RNA
Source: RNAcentral